UGAGUGGCGGACGGGUGAGUAACGCGUGGGCAACCUGCCCUGUACAGGGGGACAACACUUAGAAAUAGGUGCUAAUACCGCAUAACGGGGGGGAGCCGCAUGGCACCCCCUGAAAACUCCGGUGGUACAGGAUGGGCCCGCGUCUGAUUAGCUGGUUGGCAGGGUAACGGCCUACCAAGGCGACGAUCAGUAGCCGGCCUGAGAGGGCGGACGGCCACACUGGGACUGAGACACGGCCCAGACUCCUACGGAAGGCAGCAG
Molecule: ribosomal RNA, 261 nt
Filed under: uncultured bacterium
Lineage: Bacteria
Description: partial 16S ribosomal RNA
Rfam family: Bacterial small subunit ribosomal RNA
Source: RNAcentral